RNAcentral lists this unclassified non-coding RNA (185 nucleotides) under uncultured Ascomycota. Its description in RNAcentral is "sequence contains ITS1". Lineage: Eukaryota; Fungi; Ascomycota. The record is from RNAcentral.
CCGAGUUCGUGGGCGUUCCAACCGGACCCCAAACUCCCACCCUUUGUGUACCGUACCUUGUUGCUUUGGCGGGCCUGCGCGCCCUCGAAAAGCGCGCUGCCGGCUCUGCUGGCUCGUGCCCGCCAGAGGAUCGUCAAACUCCUGUUUUUUAUCAGUGUCGUCUGAGUGUAAACCUAACAAGUUUA